CUACGUCACCUCCGAUUCCUCAAGCGUCUGGACACAAACAGCGGAUGGAGAUGGAGAACAUGGUGUCUGAAACGGAAUCUUUAAAUUGAGGUUUUUAAUUUAAAGGACAGAUUACCAAAUAGGGCAAUCCUAUCUGGAAAAAAAACAACCAUGGAAGAAGCUUGGGAUUUUGAGUUUUUGUCCCGCAUUGCUGACAGCUGUCUGUCGUUUCUGUCCGAAUUUGUGGAGGACUGGCUAGCCAACGACAUGAGAGUCUCUAUAUUCAAAAUAUUACUCAGCUGGCUGAUUUUUAGUCUUAUUGCUAUUCAUUUUGCAUGGAAAGUCUACGGGAAUACAGUAAACGACAUGUAUUAUAGACAAGGAACGGGUCAGAACGGAGGCACACCAGAUACUGCUCCUCACCUGAGUGGAUGGUAGGUGUCCGAGCAGCCAUGUCACUUCAAACAGGUAGCCCACCCUCCUCAUGCUGUCAGGGAAAGCACGGCAGGAGACAAUCCGAAGGCUCACCGGGAUUGACAGGACAUGAUUUUUUAGACUUUAUCCAAAUGAGAGCCAAACUGUUUAUCAUGACGCCUUCAGUUUCCAGUUGUCUGAAAAGCAUCAUCAUCACUGCACCCAAGACUGAUUCAUCUUCUGGAGAAUGCCCAGUACUACCAAUGUCACACUGUUAUCCACUGACAUCUGUGAGGUGUUUACAGGUUGUCAGCAUUGGUCACUGAGGAGAACCAUACUGUGCACAUUCCACACUUUGUUAGGUGGACGAUGCCUUAUCCUUACUCUAUGGAUAAAUGAAAAGAUGUUUUCCAUAUCUUUUAAUUAACUACAGUGAUGGUAUGCGAAAGGCAGAUAGGUUUGGAAUUGAGAGUUGGGGGUAUAAGCAGGGUUUUGGCAAACAGUUUUUAAUCUGAGACUGUGAGUAAUAUUAUUGCACUUGAUUUGAAUGUUUGGUCAUUAAUGCUCAUGCCAUGACCCUCCAGACCUCAUUGAACGGUUGUCAGCAGAAGGGUUUUCAUGGUAUGCCUGCCUGAAGUCAGGUGAACAAUAGCUAUAUGUAAUGAGUUUGGGUAUAAUGAGACAUCCCUUGUCAUGGACAGCAUAUCCUUAAUAUCUACUGUUUCAUAAGUGAUGCUCACUAUCGAGAGACAGAUUCAUGAGUAAUAUUUGAUGAAAUCUAGAUGUGACAUGAUUUUUGUGGCACACUUCUUGUCUGACAAGAACAGUAUGAAUGCAAAAUUAACUCUAAAGUUAUUAAACUACAAUGUGGUCUGGAGUGAAUAUGGCAAUUCAGAAUUUUCUGCAAUAUAUUGUGUUUAGUAAUCCACCCCCCAUGUUAUUCAGCAGAGCUUGAGCAGGUUGCAGUGCAGUGUCAGAUCGGCUUAAGCUGGAGUACAGCAAAUAAACUUGAUUAUUUUUAUAAU
Sphaeramia orbicularis (orbiculate cardinalfish) is the source of this 1418-nucleotide RNA transcript. It is a transcript of the gene named T cell leukemia translocation altered, with no coding region annotated. Lineage: Eukaryota; Metazoa; Chordata; Actinopteri; Kurtiformes; Apogonidae. The record is from RefSeq and is a predicted model, not a curated record. The transcript has 3 exons.